CGGGAAACUGGGGAUAAUACCCUAUAGACUAUGGAUGCUGGAAUGCUCUGUAGCCGAAAGGUCCGCCGCUGUAGGAUGGGUCUGCGGCCGAUUAGGUUGUUGUUGGGGUAACGGCCCAACAAGCCUGUAAUCGGUACGGGGUGUGGGAGCAAGAGCCCCGAGAUGGAAUCUGAGACACGAAAUCAGGCCCUUACGGGGCGCAGCAGGGGCGAAAACUUUACAAUGCGGGAAACCGUGAUAAGGGAACUCUGAGUGCCCGUAAAAUCGGGCUGUCCAUCAGUUUAAAUAACUGGUGAAGAAAGGGCCGGGCAAGACCGGUGCCAGCCGCCGCGGUAACA
RNAcentral lists this ribosomal RNA (338 nucleotides) under uncultured archaeon. RNAcentral's name for it is "partial 16S ribosomal RNA". It matches the Rfam family "Archaeal small subunit ribosomal RNA", at positions 133 to 475 of the family's 1478-position model. The record is from RNAcentral.